Molecule: ribosomal RNA, 125 nt
Filed under: Octodon degus (degu)
Lineage: Eukaryota; Metazoa; Chordata; Mammalia; Rodentia; Octodontidae
Source: RNAcentral
GUCCAUGACCAUACCACCCUGAACACGCCUUGGAAGCUAAGCAGGGUCGCGCCUGGUUAGUACUUGGACGGGAGUGACACCAGCACCUUUACUCCUUAGGCGUGCAUCGAGCUCAGUAGUUUAUU